CAAAUAUUCCAGCUCCCUAAGCACUUCCCAUUUGACCAAACUUAACCUAAUUUUACCAAUGUAAACUUUUAGUCUGUGAAGAUUUCUGGGCACUGAACAGAACAACUCUGCUAGAGGCCAUGCGUUUCCCAGAGCACAGCUUUGAGCACCAGACAGCUACUUAGACAUGGGUCUACACAGAUCUGGAAAGUCGAUGCCUUUUGCACCACCUCUUUUAAUGCAUGUUACUUUACUAGUGAGACAGCACUUCAAUCCCUUCAUGCCCUCUGAACACCACUUCGGGGAUCAUUUGGAAGAUGGAAAGUAGCUCUACACCACAUGCAAGACGGAUACUUCUCCACUCUGAGCAGCACUGCACUGCGAAUAUUAUCAACUUCAAAAAAACUCGUGCAAAAUCCACUGCGUAAACUUCAGACACAUUUGAUUUCAUUUUGGUCUCAGGCCCAGACCCUUCAAGUUAAUGAAAAUACUCAGAUUGUGGUCAAUUUCCAUCUACUGAGGCUUCUGCUCCUACCCUGGGAGGGAAGUACAGCGUGCAUAAGAGCAGCAUCUGUCCUUUGCAUGCCUCUUAUCCACAGACAUACACAGUUGGCUAAAAUGCAGUAUGGAGCUAUGGAAAUGAAGGCCUGGUAACAUACUAUCUCACAGUGACUUUUGAAAUAAAAAUAUAACUAUACAGGGCAUGUCAACCUAUGUAAACCUGCACUGUCUUAAAUAAAAUAAAAUGAGCAAAUGACUAUUGAGUGCUGGUGAAGCAAGAUACUCUGUUAUUAUUUCUUAUUCUUCCUACUUACAUGGAUUAAGGAUGAAUGGAACAUGUCAUAAUAAAACUGAGAGGAGUUAUUUAAGUGUAAUUAUGAGACUGACCAUAGUUAUACCUCAAGUGACAGCUUUAUUAACUCCUUAUAUUUUGGAAAAUUGCCAUUCCAGUUAAAAAGUUAGGUUUUCCUUCAGUUUAAAAAUGAAUUUACUUAUGACAGGCUCAGUAGAAUUUUUGGGAGACUUUUUCAAGCUGUAAGACUGAGAAUUGCCUUUUUCUCCCUUCAUAUUUUCCAUAGGCUCCCCUCCUUCCACAUGCAAUCAGCUGAUUAAAAAUUGACAUUUUCAGUACUUUAGUUUCACAAUGGACUUAGGCCCCAAUCAUCUAUAUGCGACUCUGCAAGGACUUCUGAGGUACAGUACGUUAAAUGGGAUCGCACAACCUCCCAGGCACCAAUAAAAAUCUUAAUAAAAGGCUUAUAAGCUGUUUAAAUUGAACAUAAGACUGUGCCUCAACCUUCUAUUCCAAGGGAGUCAGCUUGAGUAUACUUUGAUCAAGAUUUCCAAGAGCAGAGAAACAACACAGGCUAAACCGGGAGACAUUCUGUGGUCAGAGAUACAAAGAAGCUUCGAUAAUCUUGUGCUCUGUUAUGGUCCUAAAAUCUAAGAACACUUUCCCCUUAUUUUACUGUUAAAAACAAUCCCAACAUAUUCUGGAGUAUUCUUAAUCUUUUCCAUUUUUUUUUUCAAGAACAUAAGCUUUUCUUUAUAGACGACAAGACAUUUUUUCAAAACAUAUUCAGACAUAUUAAAAUUGUAUUUCUCUCAUAAUUUCUUCAUUAUAUUAUUACUGCAAAUUACAUUAACCAAACCAACAAUUUUCAAGGAUUUUUAAAAAAAAGUCAUAUUUAAAUAAUUCCCUGCUGGUGCCAGUAUGUUAACUAUUAGGCUGUUAUUAACUGAUUUGGUAUCCUACUUGUUUCUACAGUAUCAAUCUAGUGCAACCACAAAAAGGUAGAUGCAUUACACAGAGUAUUUCACUCAUGAAUCUUUUUAAACUACUGUUUAUGCUUUUUUAAAAUUCUGUAUUAAAAUGCUGAACUAUAAGGGAACUAUAAAGUAUGAAGGAAAAAAUAAUACAAUGCAACAAUGGCACUGCAUUGUUACUUAUCAAAAGUCCCACUACACAUGCUUUGUUAGUGAAAUUUAUUAACAAUAAAUAUGUAUAAUACUUAAAGCACAAAAAAUAAUAUUUUAUCUUUAAAGAAAUUGAUGAUGAGACACGAAAGCUAAAUAAUGAAAUGUAAAUUCUUCAAAGAAAUUAUAGUGGAUGUUUGCAGCAUUGCUGUACUCAUUUUUUUAAAAUGUGAAGAACUGCAAAGAAAUAAAGCCCUGAUGUUUGCUCUUUAAAGUGUCUGCCAUUCUCUUCUCCCUUUUAUUCUGUCCUGUACUAUUUUCUUACGAGAUUCGUCCUACAGAGCAAACUCCUCCUUAAGUUUACAAAAAUUAAGUCAAAAGAACAAGUCACACCUUAAGUUAAGCACUUAUGUAUCUGAUGAACUGGAACAUAGAAACAUGAUCUGCAAAGGUUUACAUGUAUGCUUAACUUUCUACAAUACACACAGUCCUACAGCUGGACUGCUCACAGCAUGUGUCAAGUUAACAUGCACGAAGACGAUCACUGAAAUCUGGCUGUAUCAA
Molecule: long non-coding RNA, 2460 nt
Organism: Dromaius novaehollandiae (emu)
Lineage: Eukaryota; Metazoa; Chordata; Aves; Casuariiformes; Dromaiidae
Exons: 4
Source: RefSeq, a predicted model, not a curated record